GAUGAACGCUGGCGGCGUGCCUAAUACAUGCAAGUCGAGCGGCAGCACGGUCUUCGGACUGGUGGCGAGCGGCGGACGGCUGAGUAACGCGUAGGAAUAUACCCAAAGUGAGGGAUAACUGCCCGAAAGGGUGGCUAAUACCGCAUGUGGUCUUCGGACUAAAGCCUUCGGCGCUUUGGGAAUAGCCUGCGUAAGAUUAGCUAGUUGGUGAGGUAAUGGCUCACCAAGGCGACGAUCUUUAGCUGGUCUGAGAGGAUGACCAGCCAGACUGGAACUGAGACACGGUCCAGACUCCUACGGGAGGCAGCAGUAGGGAAUUUUCCACAAUGGGCGAAAGCCUGAUGGAGCAACGCCGCGUGCAGGAUGAAGGCCCUCGGGUCGUAAACUGCUUUUACGUGCGAAGAAUAUGACGGUAACACAUGAAUAAGGGUCGGCGUAACUACGUGCCAGCAGCCGCGGUAAU
RNAcentral lists this ribosomal RNA (463 nucleotides) under uncultured bacterium. Its description in RNAcentral is "bacterial SSU rRNA". It matches the Rfam family "Bacterial small subunit ribosomal RNA", at positions 28 to 524 of the family's 1533-position model. The record is from RNAcentral.